This 72-nucleotide transfer RNA is filed under the name Anaerolineae bacterium. RNAcentral's name for it is "tRNA-Gly". It matches the Rfam family "tRNA". Rfam says of the family: Transfer RNA (tRNA) molecules are approximately 80 nucleotides in length. Their secondary structure includes four short double-helical elements and three loops (D, anti-codon, and T loops). The record is from RNAcentral. Lineage: Bacteria; Bacillati; Chloroflexota; Anaerolineae.
GCGGGUAUAGUUCAGUGGUAGAACGUCAGCUUCCCAAGCUGAAUGUCAAGGGUUCGAAUCCCUUUACCCGCU